GCAUUGUUGAGAGCUGUUGAGAAUUGUGUCGCAAUUGUCACAUCUCGGGGACCAUGAAAUCCGUCACGAACUUGUUCCAAGCGUCCUUGUUCACUCACCCAAGGCGCAACUAUUUUAUGCACCCUACGGCGAUCAAGCAGAGUUCAGCAAGCAUGCGAUAGCUCUAUAAGAGCACUGACUGGUAUACAGUGCAUUAAUUUUCAUUAUAGUUUUCUUGAGAACUAUAUUAACUUUAGUUUAUUAUAAUAUCAUUUGAGGUCCUUGAUGAUAAAUCCCUUUUGAGCAGAUUAUACACCUUGUGAAACAUGCAGUUUGCCACACUGCUGAAACUUGCAUAAUUAUGCCGAAGCAAAUACAGGUGAACGAUCAUUGUUGGUGUUGCAGUUUUCUUCACAGGAGCGCAGACUGCACGUGAAUUGCUUUUCUCCAAUGAGUCCCUGAGGGAAAAGAUCGUCCGCAGUUUGGCUUAACGACACAUCUCCCGCGUCGUUUUCACCAUCUUUCACAGCAAGGCGACGUAACACAGUUCGUCUUAUUCCCUUCAUGGUCCCUUCGAGCGACUUGCAGGAGUGAACAUGGCAGUUUGACUAUACAAGGGUGAGUGUGUGUUCGCGUCGACAACGCUCAGAAAUGAAACAGUGUCUCAAAACCAGCUGUCGGCACUGCGCGACGCGAGGGAGGUCAGCCAGCAGUGUGAGGGGGCAGGGCAAGGGUAAAAACAUGCCGAAAACGUGUUGGGUACAGAGAGAGUUUUUGUUCCAAGUCACACAGUUUGAUCGGUGAUAAUUCUCUCGCUGUCGUUGCGCUGCCCCAUGAGCGUUCCCUUUUAUGCCAGGCGAGCAGUGUUCCGCCAGGCAGCGUUGACAACCGCUACAAGUGUUACAAAAAUAGCUUUCUCCGGAGUGUUUCUGUUGACACGAUGGCUGGCGGAGCACUGCCCCAAGGAUGAUCACGUCCGUCUGACGUAAUCGUUGAAAAGAAAACACA
Long non-coding RNA from Rhipicephalus sanguineus (brown dog tick), 987 nucleotides. RefSeq lists it as uncharacterized. The transcript has 2 exons. NCBI's taxonomy places the organism in Eukaryota, Metazoa, Arthropoda, Arachnida, Ixodida, Ixodidae. The record is from RefSeq and is a predicted model, not a curated record.